CAUAUUAUUGGAAGUCCUGGCCAGAACGGUCAGGCAAGAGAAAAAAAUAAAGGCAUCCAAAUAGAAAGAGAGGAAGUCAAACUAUACCUAUUUGCAGAUGGCAUGACCUGUAUCUAGAAAAUCCCAUAGUCUCAGCUCAAAAGCUCUUUAAGCUGAUAAACAACUUCAGCAAAGUCUCAGGAUACAAAAUCAAUUUACAAAAAUCACUAGCAUUCCUAUACACCAACAGCAGUGAAGCCAAGAGCCAAAUCAGGAACACAGUCACAUUCAUAAUUGCCACAAAACGAAUAAAAUACAGCCAAGACGGCCAAAUAGAAACAGCUCAGGUCUGCAGCUCCCAGAAAGAUGAAUGCAAAAGGCAAGUGAAUUCUGCAUUUCCAAUUGAGGUACCAAGUUCAUCUCAUUUGGACUGACUAGGUGAUUGGCACAACCCACAGAGAGCAAGGAAAAGCAGGAUGAGGCGUUGCAUCACCCAGGAGCUGUGCAGGGCAAAGGGAUUUCCUUCCCACAGCCAAGAGAACUGCUGAGGGGUUGUGCUACCCACCAGGAGUACCAAGCUUUUCCUACAGAUUUUUGCAAUCCAUGGAUCCGGGGAUUCCUUCAUGAGCCUGCAACAUCAGGGCCUUAGGUCUCAAACACAAAACUAGACAGACAAAUGACAGCUGCUCCCGUCAGUGGCUGUUCAGGCAGGCACUGAGCUGCAGGAAUUUUUUACAUACUUCAGUGGUGCCUGGAACUCCAAUGAAGCUGGAGAACUGUCCAUCCUAUGGAAAGGGAGCUGAAGACAAGGAGCCAAAUGGUCUUGCUCAUUGGGUCCCACUCCUACAGAACCCCACAAGCGAAGACCCACUGGCUUGAAAUCCCCACUGCCAGCACAGCCAUCUGGAGUCUGCCUACGACAACCAAGUUCCUGGGGGGAGGAGUGACGACCAUUAUUUUGGCUCUAGUUGGCGGUUUUCCCCUCCCAGUGUUAAGGAUACUGGGAGGUUUGAACUGAGCAGUAUUCCCCACAGUGCAGCAAAGCAGCUGUGGCAGAUCGUGGCCAGAUUGCUUCCUUAGGUGGGAGCCGGAUCC
RNAcentral lists this long non-coding RNA (1074 nucleotides) under Homo sapiens (human). Its description in RNAcentral is "HSALNT0183357". Lineage: Eukaryota; Metazoa; Chordata; Mammalia; Primates; Hominidae. The record is from RNAcentral.